This 468-nucleotide ribosomal RNA is filed under the name uncultured bacterium. RNAcentral describes it as "partial 16S ribosomal RNA". It matches the Rfam family "Bacterial small subunit ribosomal RNA", at positions 28 to 507 of the family's 1533-position model. The record is from RNAcentral.
GACGAACGCUGGCGGCGUGCUUAACACAUGCAAGUCGAACGGAAAGGCCCUGCUUUUGUGGGGUGCUCGAGUGGCGAACGGGUGAGUAACACGUGAGUAACCUGCCCUUGACUUUGGGAUAACUUCAGGAAACUGGGGCUAAUACAGGAUAGGAGCUCCUGCUGCAUGGAGGGGGUUGGAAAGUUUCGGCGGUUGGGGAUGGACUCGCGGCUUAUCAGCUUGUUGGUGGGGUAGUGGCUUACCAAGGCUUUGACGGGUAGCCGGCCUGAGAGGGUGACCGGCCACAUUGGGACUUGAAUACGGCCCAGACUCCUACGGGAGGCAGCAGUGGGGAAUAUUGCACAAUGGGCGGAAGCCUGAUGCAGCAACGCCGCGUGCGGGAUGACGGCCUUCGGGUUGUAAACCGCUUGCGCCUGUGACGAAGCGUGAGUGACGGUAAUGGGUAAAGAAGCACCGGCUAACUACGUG